Non-coding RNA from Paramuricea clavata, 263 nucleotides. The record is from the annotation of a GenBank genome assembly. NCBI's taxonomy places the organism in Eukaryota, Metazoa, Cnidaria, Anthozoa, Malacalcyonacea, Plexauridae.
GGUAAUUCGUUCACUUGGUGUCCAAAUACAAUAACGUUCAUAAAUAUCUAAAUAUAACUAUGUUCAUCUAUUUACCAACGUAGCUGCCAAAGGCCCCAUAAAAAUUUUAAGAAUCCGUUAUUAUCCAUUAAGUUAAAGGAAACACCCAUCCCCUGACCCACUUAUGGUCAAUGAAAACAGCAAGGGGACAGCGACGUUUCGCAGACACCGAGGGGCAAAUCACUCCUAGAAAGUGUACAGGACAUUUGGACUUUUAAAAGUCC